Molecule: long non-coding RNA, 1399 nt
Organism: Pezoporus occidentalis (night parrot)
Lineage: Eukaryota; Metazoa; Chordata; Aves; Psittaciformes; Psittacidae
Exons: 3
Source: RefSeq, a predicted model, not a curated record
GAUGUUGAAUGAGCCUGAGGCAUCCCUAGCAAGUAAAGGAUUACUCUGCUACUGAGGAAUGAUUUGAAAUCUAACAUGACCACAUCCAUUGAGAAUAAUGGUGCUUUGUUAAUGGGAAAAAGUAUAUGCUGCCAAACAAACCUAGCUUGGUGUAAGAAUAUGUGAAAAACUUUAAAAAUAAAGCUUGUUUGGAAAGACAGCUGAUCAUUAAUCCCUGCAUCUGAGAUGUCUGGAGCAUCCUCACAUGGCUGGCCAGUACAGUGCAGGGCCUACUGCAGGUCCACAGCUUUCAGAAGCACCACCUAGAGACCCAGUAUACUGCCAUGGGGCACACCAAGUGUACCUAAUCUAAUACAUGGCCUCAGUCUUCCUGUUGACGAUCAUUUAUGCACAGGGAACCCUGUGCUUUCCUUGUCCAUAAACCUCAGAGGCUCUGAAACACUAAUUGCUGUAUUUUAUUUAUCUCCAGCCUGCCUAGCGUUUGUUAAUUGACCUGGUAUGGAGUAAAAUCCUGGCAUUUCUUCCUUCCCAAAGGAUCCUGUGAGUUAGAUGGAAGACAAAUGAAUUUGCUUUGUCUUCAAAUGCUGGUGACAGGGAAGAGACCUCAUCUGAAAUGUUGCUCUGUCUGAUGUGGAGAACUUUGAUCCAAAUUUCUCCUGAGGAUCUGGUUGUCUCACCAGGAAUAAAACGCAAGGGAAAACGGCUUUGCUUUAUUUGGUUGUUUUAACUGCAUCAUCUCCGUUAUUGUGAUGGGAAGGUGAUACAAGAAAGGGUAGAAUGAAAAAAAGUGGAGCCAUUUUUGCUGUGAGAAGAGAGGUAUGUUGGAAUCAUGUCUUCAUUCAGUUUGCAGCUCUUUUUACUUUGGCAAUGCUGAGCCAAAGAUUUAUCUCAGUCAGGAACUUAUUAAGACUCCAGCACACUGUAAUUUCAAAUAGUUUCCCUCUGGCUGUGAUUCAAUAUUUAUUGUGGCCUUGUUAUCAAUACAGCUUAAGGAGGUCCUACCCUUCUCUUGGGUGGACACAGCUGAGAAAUGGGUCAGGAAAAAAAAAACAGUGUUGAAAACAGCCUCUGCUUGCAAGAAACCUUGCUUGAGCAACCUGGUCUAGUGGGAGGUAUCCCUGCCCAUGGCAGGAGGGGUUGGAACUAGAUAAUCUUAAGGUCCUUUCCAACCCAAACUAUUCUAUGAUUCUAUGAAACAGGCGUGCGUAGUAGAAUAAGAGGGAGUGAGGGGUAGUAGGCAGGAGCUUAUUGAGAAGUUAUUGCUGCCAAAGCUCCCAUACAAUCAAACUAUAGCCUCAGAUACUGUGGAUUGCCAGGUAUCAGGGUACAGCUUGAAACUUCUUUUAUCAGUGCACAACAAAUCCAGGGAAUGCUGCUAGUCCUGGGGGUGAAGAGCUGA